Long non-coding RNA from Mastomys coucha (southern multimammate mouse), 286 nucleotides. RefSeq lists it as uncharacterized. The transcript has 2 exons. The record is from RefSeq and is a predicted model, not a curated record. Lineage: Eukaryota; Metazoa; Chordata; Mammalia; Rodentia; Muridae.
GUCCGCCCUCCUGCUGCUAGGUACUUCUUUUAGCUACAGAACUCCUAGCAGGAAAAGAGACUGGUCAGAGGACGAAGCUUGAGAACAGCACCUCUUCCCUCUGAGCUCUACUGGAGAGAAACUUCUACUCAGAGCUGGGAAAGUUUGUCAACAAAGCACGCAACUCCAGGCUUUCACAACGUGGUUGGCUGUCAGGAGCUGAAUGAUGGCCUGCUCUUUGGGGGCCUUAUUUUUAGUUUCUGUAUGUUUUACUGUGGUGAUGUUUUUCAAAACUAGGAAAAAGUGA